This 29-nucleotide non-coding RNA is filed under the name Rattus norvegicus (Norway rat). Lineage: Eukaryota; Metazoa; Chordata; Mammalia; Rodentia; Muridae. The record is from RNAcentral.
UACAAGCAAUGGGCAAGUUUUCUCAUUUG